This 446-nucleotide ribosomal RNA is filed under the name uncultured bacterium. Its description in RNAcentral is "SSU rRNA". It matches the Rfam family "Bacterial small subunit ribosomal RNA", at positions 26 to 518 of the family's 1533-position model. The record is from RNAcentral.
AGAACGAACGCUGGCGGCAGGCCUCAAACAUGCAAGUCUAGGGGGCGUAGCAAUACGUCACCGGCGGACGGGUGCGUAACACGUGGGAAUGUACUUACUGGUUCGGAACAACUCAGGGAAACUUGAGCUAAUACCGAAUGUGCCCGAAAGGGGAAAGAUUUAUCGCCAGUAAAUCAGCCCGCGUCCGAUUAGCUAGUUGGUGGGGUAAAGGCCCACCAAGGCGACGAUCGGUAGCUGUUCUGAGAGGAAGAUCAGCCACACUGGGACUGAGACACGGCCCAGACUCCUACGGGAGGCAGCAGUUGGGAAUCUUGGACAAUGGGGAAACCUGAUCCAGCCAUGCCGCGUGAGUGAUGAAGGCCUUCGGGUUGUAAAACUCUUUCGACGGGGACGAUAAUGACGGUACCCGUAGAAGAAGCUCCGGCUAACUUCGCGCCAGCAGCCGC